RNA transcript from Macadamia integrifolia, 1423 nucleotides. RefSeq lists it as uncharacterized. The record is from RefSeq and is a predicted model, not a curated record. The transcript has 3 exons. Lineage: Eukaryota; Viridiplantae; Streptophyta; Magnoliopsida; Proteales; Proteaceae.
ACUUGUAAUUUGAUCGGUUAGUAUUCCCUCUUUUUUUUUUUUUUUGGGUUGGGGGGUGGGUUGAUUAUGGUUUUGCAUGAGUUGAUCCUAUACAUGGGCUAAUUUCAGUCUAUAUUGUUUUUGGUACAUGGUUGAUAAUUAUAGGGUUUUUUACUUGUAUUUUUUUUUUUUUUUUUUUUUUGUCCAAUAUAUUAUAUUUUAAACAGACGGAAGAAUAAACUAAUAUAUUGGGUGUCAAUUUUGGUGUUGUUUGGAAAUGAAAUGGCAGAGAUAAAAGAGUGGAAUGCUAUGAAUUGCUUGGCUGUUCACUUACCAUGCUCUAUGAAGUUCGUCUGUGCUUGUGGUGGAAUGGAAAGAGUAGCCCUAGGGCUACCAUGCCUGGGGACGGUUGUGUUGAGCGCCUUUUGUUUGGUGGGGCGAUAUCUAGUGCAUGUCCUCUUUGAUUCCAGGUGUUCAAGGAUGAUCUUUUCCUGCAAAGUGAUGCAAGUGGAGAGGGAUUUGAGGGUGAAAUUGGUUGAGCGACCGCAAUCGGAGUUCGAUUCAGAGAGGGGAUUGGAUUUAAGCUUAGGGUUUGAGAUUGAUACGGAGCAGAGGAAGAAGAAUACGAAAAAGAAGGAGAUGGUCCGCAAUGAAAUUGAGCAUGAUCAGUUCGAUUAAGAAGCAAAAUGACCUUCUUGAACUUGAAGCCAAUGAAAUCUGUGAUUUCUCUGCAAUCUAACUGGUUUUGCUGUUGGUUUUGAUGGGAGAGUAGAUAGAUCAGAGUCAAAAGGAUUUUGUUCCGUGUUCCGUGUUCCGUGUUCCGUGUUUUAUUUUGGAAGGAAGAAGAUGGGUGAAGAAGAGAGGGCUUAGUUCUUGUAGCUCCAGUUGGCAUUCUUUUUCUUUUCUUCAGCACUAUUUGAACAAAAGUCUUAGAUCCUGAUCAUUACCUUCCAUCUAGCUGUAGCCAGGUAAGAUCUCUUGUUUUGAAUACUUUGAACCAGCUUGGUGUUGUCUCUUUUAAACUUUCUAUCAAGUUUUUAAAGAUAUUCAAUGGUAGAAUUGACUUACCAGAUCUAUUGAAAGAGCAAGUGUUGAAAUAAGCUCAGGUAAUGGGGGAGCUACCAAUAGUGGCAAGGAGGGAAGAUCAAAGAAAGUGGAUAAAUUCUUCAAAUGGAAUGUUUUCAAUUGGAUCAAGUUAUGAUAUGCAGGGUAGAAAAGUUCAAAUCUAAGUAAGACUUGGAGCAUAAAAGUUCCACUGAGUGUGGGUGUCUUCAUGUGGAUCUACUUAAAGACAAAGUGCCAAUUCAAAAGGACUUCAAGAUGUUGGAUGUGCAUAUGGCCAGCACUUCUGCUCUCUGUGAAUGUCAUACAUUUGUUUUUAUCUUGCAGUUACUGGGAUGAACUGGAGAAUAUGAACAUGUAUAAUGUGUUUGAUUAUAGAAUG